Molecule: long non-coding RNA, 220 nt
Organism: Eptesicus fuscus (big brown bat)
Lineage: Eukaryota; Metazoa; Chordata; Mammalia; Chiroptera; Vespertilionidae
Exons: 3
Source: RefSeq, a predicted model, not a curated record
CCGGAACUGGAAACAGCCAAUUCUCCAAGAAGCCUUGGUUCCUUUCGUCUCUCAAUCUUCGCCAACAAGGACCUGAGUCUGGGCCCAAGAGCAUCUGGAAGGUAUGACAUCCUGCCCCAAUGAGUGCGUUUCUCCUGGGUCCCAGGAUGCUUCCUCCUCAGAGAUACUCAACAUCUGGCUGAAACGAGCACACUUUAAUGGAAACAUCUGGAUACUCUGC